CUCGGGGUUCUACCGUUGGUCGGGCAAUUGUCUGUACUGGCGUGUAGAAUUUCUACCUUCUGGGGAACCAUCAUGUUAUUAAUUUAGCGUGGUGGGAAACCAGGACCUUUACCUUGAAAAAAUUAGAGUGUUCAAAGCAGGCUUACGUCUGAAUACAUUAGCAUGGAAUAAUAAAAUAGGACGGUGGUCCUGUUUUGUUGGUUUCUGAAUCACCGUAAUGAUUAAUAGGGAUAGUUGGGGGCAUUAGUAUUCAAUUGUCAGAGGUGAAAUUCUUGGAUUUAUUGAAGACUAACUUCUGCGAAAGCAUUUGCCAAGGAUGUUUUCAUUAAUCAAGAACGAAAGUUAGGGGAUCGAAGACGAUCAGAUACCGUCGUAGUCUUAACCAUAAACUAUGCCGACUAGGGAUCGGACGAUGUUAAUUUUUCUUGAC
This 430-nucleotide ribosomal RNA is filed under the name uncultured Glomeromycotina. Its description in RNAcentral is "SSU rRNA". It matches the Rfam family "Eukaryotic small subunit ribosomal RNA", at positions 627 to 1075 of the family's 1831-position model. The record is from RNAcentral. Lineage: Eukaryota; Fungi; Glomeromycota.